AGUGAACGCCGGCGGUAGGCCUAACACAUGCAAGUCGUACGGCAGCACAGGAGAGCUUGCUCUCUGGGUGGCGAGUGGCGGACGGGUGAGGAAUACAUCGGAAUCUACUUUUUCGUGGGGGAUAACGUAGGGAAACUUAAGCUAAUACCGCAUACGACCUACGGGUGAAAGCAGGGGACCUUCGGGCCUUGCGCGAUUGAAUGAGCCGAUGUCGGAUUAGCUAGUUGGCGGGGUAAAGGCCCACCAAGGCGACGAUCCGUAGCUGGUCUUCGAGGAUGACCAGCCACACUGUAACUGAGACACGGUCCAAACUCCUACGGGAAGCAUCAUUGGGGAAUAUUGGACAAUGGGCGCAAACCUGAUCCAGCCAUACCGCGUGGGUUAAGAAGGCCUACGGGGUGUAAAGCCCUUUUGUUGGGAAAGAAAUCCAGCUGGCUAAUACCCGGUUGGGAUGACGGUACCCAAAGAAUAAGCACCGGCUAACUUCGUGCCAGCAGCCGCCGUAA
RNAcentral lists this ribosomal RNA (506 nucleotides) under uncultured bacterium. Its description in RNAcentral is "partial 16S ribosomal RNA". It matches the Rfam family "Bacterial small subunit ribosomal RNA", at positions 29 to 523 of the family's 1533-position model. The record is from RNAcentral.